This 253-nucleotide ribosomal RNA is filed under the name uncultured bacterium. RNAcentral's name for it is "partial 16S ribosomal RNA". It matches the Rfam family "Bacterial small subunit ribosomal RNA", at positions 524 to 776 of the family's 1533-position model. The record is from RNAcentral.
UACGUAGGGUGCGAGCGUUAAUCGGAAUUACUGGGCGUAAAGCGUGCGCAGGCGGCUUUGCAAGACAGAUGUGAAAUCCCCGGGCUCAUCCUGGGAACUGCAUUUGUGACUGCAAGGCUAGAGUACGGCAGAGGGGGAUGGAAUUCCGCGUGUAGCAGUGAAAUGCGUAGAUAUGUGGAGGAACACCAAUGGCGAAGGCAAUCCCCUGGGCCUGUACUGACGCUCAUGCACGAAAGCGUGGGGAGCAAACAGG